CAGCACCGGCCGGCACGUGGCACGCGGUUUUUCUGGGCUUUUGGCCUCUUCCCCCUAGGCUCGCACCCCCACCACCACCCGAUUCCCGGAACCCGCCCCAUUUCCGCCUCCUCCUUCGCCUUCGCGGCUUCGCCUCUCUCCCACACAUGCAUCGCCAUCGCCGUCAUCGUCAGGACUAAGCUCUGCUCUGCAUCUGCACCACCACCCAGCUGCAGCCGAACAAGAAGACGAGCAUCUCAUCUCAUCUCAUCUGCCGAUCGAUCGAUUCGCUGCAGGGAGAGCUGAACAAUGGAGUUCGUGUUGAUCAUCUCGCUGCCGCUCCUCAUCCUGAUCAUAAUCGUCGCGGUGGUUCUCUGCAUCAUCUGCCGCUAGCUGAAUGGUGACACCUCAUUGUUCUUCCUGCCCAUAUCUUGAUGUGAACAUAUCAUGUAUCAAUUGAUUAGUAUCUCAUGACUCACAACAGAGCAGUCUCGUACUCUCUUUGGGGGGCCAGUGUGGUUGUGAUUAGUUUGGCCCUAGCUUUGAUGAGCAAAAAGACAUUGAUUCUGAAUGUCAUACAUACAUAUGUGCUGUGAGAAUCCCCUCUCUGCUUUGGUUCGUUUUUGAUAUUAUUCAUACGGGAGAUCGGACAGCUGAAAGCAUGAUAUUCUCAUUCUCUUUGUCAUUCUUCUGAAGAUCAGAAGCAUCAUCUGCUUUGUGUUGUUCUGUACCAUUUUGUUCAUGCCGCCCCAUGAGAAGAAAAAGCCACAUAGUGACCAUACUUUUGAGCAGGAAACGCAAAGAGAAGCCUGAUGAGAAAGGAACAUGUGGACUGUUUGGUACGCCUUGUUCUCACGCCUUUUGUGUGAGAUCUUUGCUUUUGCAAAAAUAUAUAUACAUGCAUAUAGUGCAUAUGCUUUUGUC
Molecule: long non-coding RNA, 903 nt
Filed under: Oryza sativa tropical japonica subgroup
Lineage: Eukaryota; Viridiplantae; Streptophyta; Magnoliopsida; Poales; Poaceae
Description: lncRNA OsCMeo_10g0014380
Source: RNAcentral